GUGUUUGUUCAUUGUGGUUCUAGAUGAAGCCGGUGCAACUAAAACAGAAGCCGAGCCACCUGUCGGAGAUCCUGAACCAGAAAUCACGCCUGAAGAAGCUCCAGAUGAUGCAGAAGAAGAACCAGCACAAGAGGAAGCAGAAGGAGGUAAAAUUUCAUAAAGUGUGUGUGUGUGAAAGAGAGAGAGUGUGUGUUAGUGUGUGUGUGAGAGAGAGAG
This is a long non-coding RNA of Sinocyclocheilus grahami, 216 nucleotides long. RefSeq lists it as uncharacterized. NCBI's taxonomy places the organism in Eukaryota, Metazoa, Chordata, Actinopteri, Cypriniformes, Cyprinidae. The transcript has 3 exons. The record is from RefSeq and is a predicted model, not a curated record.